AGGUGGUUCAACAAACGAUCCCGCAUAUUCCACCAUCACUGAUCUUCCACCAGUGGGAAAGAAGACUGAGACAUUUCUACCUAAUGAGUCCCCAUAUUCCUUGAUCGGUGGCACUUUUCUUGUUGGAAAUAAUAAAGGUUCUUCACAGCCGACUGACAACACGUAUUUUUUACUGGAGAAGACCAAAGCAGCUGGAAACCAGUGACCAACGUUGGACCUGAAUAUAAGUCAAGAUUAAACCAGUUUCAAGGGACGUCUCAAAAAAAGCACAUGUGACUUAAUAAAUGUGAGACUUUGUGAUAUUUGCUGAAACUUAUAUCCUAACAUGAGACGGAUAAUUUGUGAAAACUGUGCUCCUAAGGGUAUUAAGAAGCAAGAACACAACAAGUCUGAACGACAACAACCAAUCAGAGCCGAGGAAGAUAGUUGAUUGUUGAUCUUCAAAGGUCUUUAUGUCCCUGGGGAUGAGACUCAACAGUCAGCUAAAGCUGCAAGCAGCAAUGAAUGAGGCCCUCGCAGUCAGCGUACGUGGUGUCAUGCAUCAGCAUUUCACUCAUAUAAAUGAGAUGAUGUGGCAUUAUUAUUAUUAUUGCCUAUGACUAAAUAUGGUCAUGUUAAUGUGUUCAAGCUAGCACUCAAACAUGAAGUUGGGGUCCAUUAGAUCGUGUAUGCUUGUGUAAGUUACAUCAAUUACAAAUAGCACAAUUUUGCACUGACUAACUCUGAAGUCGAUCCGAUCAAUUCCCUAGAAGAAGUGCAACUUGUGCAAAUCGCCCAAAAUGACCACUAAAUUCAAAAUGGCCAACUUCUUGUUGGGUUUGGGGUAUGGGUCCUUGAGGCUUCUCUGUAUAUGAUACAUCUGUGUACCAAUUUUCAGAUAUAUAUCGUGAAACAGGGCGCAAGGACUGCAGUUUAGGGGGUUUUGGCUGUGGGUGGUUGUUGUUCAGAUGUGUUGUAGUCUUGAAAAUGCCAUAAGGUCCUAAAUAUUUUGUAUUUUGUAUCUAUAACUAUCUCUGACUAAGACACUGUAUGUUGGUUUUCCUUUCAUUUGUCACCCUUCUGUAUCUUCUUUAUGUAUUCCUCUUAAUUUCUGAUUUUGUAUUAUUAUUUUAAAUAGUUUUUUAAUCUCUUUCCAACUCUCUUUUCUUGUACCUCUUUAGACAGUUUCUGUAC
Molecule: long non-coding RNA, 1173 nt
Organism: Morone saxatilis (striped sea-bass)
Lineage: Eukaryota; Metazoa; Chordata; Actinopteri; Moronidae
Exons: 3
Source: RefSeq, a predicted model, not a curated record